CCGCCAUUUUUUUUGUUACCGGCAAAUGAACGUAACCAUUCCACCACCUUCGAUGUAACAACGUUCAGCUCGCCUAAACGAUCGUCCAUUUCGUUUCGAACCACCAAGUCGCAACGAGAGUAGAGGUAGAUUUGGAGCUACUUAACCUUGAUGAAUUAGAAUUAUAAAAUGAGGCAAAUCCAUAAAGGAGAUGGACUCGAUUUUACGGCUAUUACGGUGUCCUGGACAUCCUUUCGGAAUUCUGGGUGGGCAGACAGGAUUCGUACUAGGUAUGAAGAAACAGGCUCUCGCGGUCAGCUGAUUUGCUAUUCUUAAGAUGUUUGGAUAAAUGAAUAUGAUAAAACCAGAGAUGAACUUUCUCAUCGAAUGAUACCUGAAACAUGAGUUCAUUUUCUUCUGGUUGAUAUUGAGCAUCUGGGUUACGGCAAGCUGAGAUUUAAAGACAUUGAUGUGAUGCAAUUGGAGAAUUUUUACACUUACAUCCAAUAUAAAUUAUGCUGGAUUGUGGGCUAAGAAUUUGUUGCAAAAGUACAAGAACUCACAUCUCCCAAGAUUCAAAGUGAUUGGAAAAUUUCUACUGUAGCAUCCAAUAUACAUUGAAUUGGAUUGUGAACAAAGAAUUUUUUUAAAAGUUUGAGAACCUACAACUCUUAAGAUUCAAUGCGAUUGGAAAAUUUCUACACUAACAUCCAAUAUAAAUUGGACUGGAUUAUGAACAAAGAAUGAAAGGAAGGGGUUACACAAGGACCCAUAACAAGAUCAACUAUAAAGAGAUAAUUUCAAUAAAUGAGUGACUGGAUCGAAGAAACAACAAUUGAAUGAAAUAUUUGAUAUGUAUAUUUAUAUCUUCGCUUACUUAAUAAAUCCCAGUAUUGCGGUACUAAUAUCUUA
Molecule: long non-coding RNA, 891 nt
Organism: Cephus cinctus (wheat stem sawfly)
Lineage: Eukaryota; Metazoa; Arthropoda; Insecta; Hymenoptera; Cephidae
Exons: 10
Source: RefSeq, a predicted model, not a curated record